RNAcentral lists this unclassified non-coding RNA (341 nucleotides) under soil metagenome. RNAcentral's name for it is "partial contains 5.8S ribosomal RNA, internal transcribed spacer 2, and large subunit ribosomal RNA". The stretch from base 1 to 120 matches the Rfam family "5.8S ribosomal RNA", at positions 35 to 154 of the family's 154-position model. The record is from RNAcentral.
GAUGAAGAACGUAGUGAAAUGCGAUAAGUAGUGUGAAUUGCAGAAUUCAGUGAAUCAUCGAAUCUUUGAACGCACAUUGCGCCCUUUGGUAUUCCAAAGGGCAUGCCUGUUCGAGCGUCAUUUGUACCCUCAAGCUUUGCUUGGUGUUGGGCGUCUUGUCUCUAGCUUUGCUGGAGACUCGCCUUAAAGUAAUUGGCAGCCGGCCUACUGGUUUCGGAGCGCAGCACAAGUCGCACUCUCUAUCAGCAAGGGUCUAGCAUCCAUUAAGCCUUUUUUUCAACUUUUGACCUCGGAUCAGGUAGGGAUACCCGCUGAACUUAAGCAUAUCAAUAAGCGGAGGA